GCAACUGUGGAGAAAGGGCAGUCAUGCCUUGGGAAGAGGAAGGUGUAUUUUGGGGCUUCUGGGAACCGCCAUAGGAGGGCUCUGCUUUGGAGAGCAAUUUAUCCCCAGGAUUCCCAGGACUUCUGUGAGGCUUGAGGCAAUGGUGAGCUGCUGAGCUUUCUCCAUUGUUCCCCAAUAAGGUGUCCCAUCAAUAGUCUCUCUGGAGAACAUGGGCCCUCUGACUCUGGUCAUGAUACUGGGAGAAGAGAAAUCUGAGUUCAAGUCCCUGUUUCAGAGUGUGGAUUCAAACUUGGGUUUCCCGCAUCUGAGGUUUCUGGAGCAGGGAAGAGGAUGAGUGGUUUUCUUUACCAGGACAGACAAGAAAGAGUGAGCAGAUUCAUAUGCAAAGGGAUAUGCUUUGGGACAAAUCUAAACUAACAUUAGUACUUCAGACGUAAGAGAGAUCAUGCUCUCCAUUUUCUGCUCUUCAUUAGAACAGUCUCUCCAAUGCAAGCCACCUUCACCUGGCUCAUCAGCAUCAAGCUGUAUUGUACUCCUCCUCUUUAUAACACCAAAACCAAAGUUCUUCACUUAGUGUUUGGCUCCUGGUGAUUGCUCAGAAGUGGGAGUCAGAUACUUCAAAGCCUGACAGAACUCCUUUGUUUUUGCAUAUUUCUGAAUUAAGUAAAGAAAACAAUUAUUCAAAUUGUAUACGAGAAUCGUGUUGGAGACUAUCAUUCUUUAAUGCUUCUAAUUAUAUGUGUAGUAGUAAUAUUUCAAUUUUAAUCUAAAAGGAUUAUAUAUGAGUUUUAAUAUAUAGGUGCAAUGAAUAUGAAAUUUCAAUCUGUGUUUUUGUACCCCAAA
Dermochelys coriacea (leatherback sea turtle) is the source of this 843-nucleotide long non-coding RNA. RefSeq lists it as uncharacterized. The transcript is spliced from 4 exons. The record is from RefSeq and is a predicted model, not a curated record. NCBI's taxonomy places the organism in Eukaryota, Metazoa, Chordata, Testudines, Dermochelyidae.